UGAGGAAUAUUGGUCAAUGGGCGGAAGCCUGAACCAGCCAUCCCGCGUGAAGGAAGAAGGCCUUAUGGGUUGUAAACUUCUUUUCUGUUUGAAGAAUAAGCUUGUCGUGACAAGUGAUGCCGGUAGGACAGGAAUAAGCAUCGGCUAACUCCGUGCCAGCAGCCGCGGUAAUACGGAGGAUGCAAGCGUUAUCCGGAUUUAUUGGGUUUAAAGGGUGCGCAGGUGGUUUAAUAAGUCAGUGGUGAAAGUCUGCCGCUUAACGGUAGGAUUGCCAUUGAUACUGGUGGACUGGAAUAUGGAUGAGGUAGGCGGAAUGUGUAGUGUAGCGGUGAAAUGCUUAGAUAUUACACAGAACACCGAUUGCGAAGGCAGCUUACUAAUCCAUGAUUGACGCUGAGGCACGAA
RNAcentral lists this ribosomal RNA (405 nucleotides) under uncultured bacterium. RNAcentral's name for it is "bacterial SSU rRNA". It matches the Rfam family "Bacterial small subunit ribosomal RNA", at positions 355 to 757 of the family's 1533-position model. The record is from RNAcentral.